GCGGAGGAAAAGAAACCAACAGGGAUUGCCCCAGUAACGGCGAGUGAAGCGGCAAAAGCUCAAAUUUGAAAUCUGGCUCCUUCCGGGGUCCGAGUUGUAAUUUGAAGAGGAUGCUUUGGGUGCGUCCGCGGCGUAAGUCCCCUGGAACGGGGCGUCAUAGAGGGUGAGAAUCCCGUCUUGAGUCGCUGGGCGCGCCCGUCUAAAGCUCCUUCGACGAGUCGAGUUGUUUGGGAAUGCAGCUCUAAGUGGGUGGUAAAUUUCAUCUAAAGCUAAAUAUUGGCCGGAGACCGAUAGCGAACAAGUAGAGUGAUCGAAAGGUUAAAAGCACCUUGAAAAGGGAGUUAAAUAGCACGUGAAAUUGUUGAAAGGGAAGCGCUUGCAGCCAGACUCGAGCGCGGGGGUUCAGCGGGCAUGUCAUGCCCGUGCACUCCCCUGCGCCCGGGCCAGCAUCAGCUUUGGCGGCCGGUCAAAGGCCCCCGGAAUGUGUCGUCCUCCGGGACGUCUUAUAGCCGGGGGUGCAAUGCGGCCAGCCGGGGCUGAGGAACGCGCUUCGGCACGGAUGCUGGCGUAAUGGCUGUAAGCGGCCCGUCUUGAAACACGGACCAAGGAGUCUAACAUCCACGCGAGUGUUCGGGUGUCAAACCCGUACGCGCAGUGAAAGCGAACGGAGGUGAGAGCCCCUCGGGGUGCAUCAUCGACCGAUCCUGAAGUCUUCGGAUGGAUUUGAGUAAGAGCGUGGCUGUUGGGACCCGAAAGAUGGUGAACUAUGCCUGAAUAGGGUGAAGCCAGAGGAAACUCUGGUGGAGGCUCGCAGCGGUUCUGACGUGCAAAUCGAUCGUCAAAUUUGGGUAUAGGGGCGAAAGACUAAUCGAACCAUCGUCCCUU
RNAcentral lists this unclassified non-coding RNA (885 nucleotides) under Malbranchea flocciformis. RNAcentral's name for it is "sequence contains 28S rRNA gene". It matches the Rfam family "Eukaryotic large subunit ribosomal RNA", at positions 50 to 953 of the family's 3401-position model. Lineage: Eukaryota; Fungi; Ascomycota; Eurotiomycetes; Onygenales; Malbrancheaceae. The record is from RNAcentral.